This 406-nucleotide unclassified non-coding RNA is filed under the name soil metagenome. RNAcentral describes it as "partial contains 5.8S ribosomal RNA, internal transcribed spacer 2, and large subunit ribosomal RNA". The stretch from base 1 to 121 matches the Rfam family "5.8S ribosomal RNA", at positions 35 to 154 of the family's 154-position model. The record is from RNAcentral.
GAUGAAGAACGCAGCGAAAUGCGAUAAGUAAUGUGAAUUGCAGAAUUCAGUGAAUCAUCGAAUCUUUGAACGCACCUUGCGCCCUUUGGCCAUUCCGAAGGGCAUGCCUGUUUGAGUAUCAUGAACACCUCAACUCUUCAUGGUUUUCCAUGAUGAGCUUGGACUUUGGGGGUCUUGCUGGCCUGUGGGUCGGCUCCUCUCAAAUGAAUCAGCUUGCCGGUUUUUGGUGGGCAUCACAGGUGUGAUAACUAUCUACGAUUGUGGUUUUCCACCAGGGUAACCUUCAGCAGUGGAGGUUCACUGGAGCUUACAAAUGUCUCUCCUCUGUGAGGACAGCCCUUUGAAUGUUUGAUCUCAAAUCAGGUAGGACUACCCGCUGAACUUAAGCAUAUCAAUAAGCGGAGGA